UAGGGAAUCUUCGGCAAUGGGGGGAACCCUGACCGAGCAACGCCGCGUGAGUGAAGAAGGUUUUCGGAUCGUAAAGCUCUGUUGUUAAGGAAGAACGAGUGUGAGAAUGGAAAGUUCAUGCUGUGACGGUACUUAACCAGAAAGGGACGGCUAACUACGUGCCAGCAGCCGCGGUAAUACGUAGGUGGCAAGCGUUGUCCGGAAUUAUUGGGCGUAAAGCGCGCGCAGGUGGUUUAGAAAGUCUGAUGUGAAAGCCCACGGCUCAACCGUGGAGGGUCAUUGGAAACUAAUAAACUUGAGUGCAGGAGAGAAAAGUGGAAUUCCUAGUGUAGCGGUGAAAUGCGUAGAGAUUAGGAGGAACACCGGUGGCGAAAGCGGCUCUCUGGUCUGUAACUGACGCUGAGGCUCGAAAGCGUGGGGAGCGAACAGG
This 430-nucleotide ribosomal RNA is filed under the name Verrucomicrobiota bacterium. RNAcentral's name for it is "Verrucomicrobia bacterium partial 16S ribosomal RNA". It matches the Rfam family "Bacterial small subunit ribosomal RNA", at positions 355 to 776 of the family's 1533-position model. The record is from RNAcentral. Lineage: Bacteria; Pseudomonadati; Verrucomicrobiota.